UGGGGAAUAUUGCACAAUGGGCGCAAGCCUGAUGCAGCCGUGCCGCGUGUGCGAAGAAGGCCUUCGGGUUGUAAAGCACUUUCAGCGAGGAGGAAGGUGGUGGACUUAAUACGUUCAUCAAUUGACGUUACUCGCAGAAGAAGCACCGGCUAACUCCGUGCCAGCAGCCGCGGUAAUACGGAGGGUGCAAGCGUUAAUCGGAAUUACUGGGCGUAAAGCGCACGCAGGCGGUUUGUUAAGUCAGAUGUGAAAUCCCCGGGCUCAACCUGGGAACUGCAUUUGAAACUGGCAAGCUAGAGUCUCGUAGAGGGGGGUAGAAAUUCCAGGUGUAGCGGUGAAAUGCGUAGAGAUCUGGAGGAAUACCGGUGGCGAAGGCGGCCCCCUGGACGAAGACUGACGCUCAGGUGCGAAAAGCGUGGGGAGCAAAACAGGAUUAGAUACCCUGGUAGUCCACGCUGUAAAACGAUGUCGAUUUUGGAGGUUGUGCCCUUGAGGCGU
RNAcentral lists this ribosomal RNA (498 nucleotides) under uncultured bacterium. RNAcentral describes it as "partial 16S ribosomal RNA". It matches the Rfam family "Bacterial small subunit ribosomal RNA", at positions 355 to 840 of the family's 1533-position model. The record is from RNAcentral.